This 231-nucleotide long non-coding RNA is filed under the name Amborella trichopoda. Its description in RNAcentral is "long non-coding RNA (ATRI_LNC004738)". The record is from RNAcentral. Lineage: Eukaryota; Viridiplantae; Streptophyta; Magnoliopsida; Amborellales; Amborellaceae.
AGGGCACUACCCCUUCUUCAAUAUUGACGCCUACCAUCAUUGCCUUCCCGGACCUCAAAACGAGCUGGGUCAGUAACAAAAGUGACACUAAGGGGCCAUUCUUGUCUGCAUAUUGGUUCUGUUAACCGAAUGGGCUUCUCGGGUCAGACUCUCACUAGUAAAUUUAUGGGUACCAACCUCUCCUCUUCUUGAAAGAUUUUUCACAUUGGGGAAUCUGUAAGAAGGACCGAC